CACAAUGUCACUGGUGCUUAGCACCAAUCCGCUCUCAGGCCUGCCUCUGUGUUCUACGGCAGUUACACGUGCACAGUGGUAUCAGCUACACACGCACAGUGGUAUCUGGGAACAGUUUUGUGGUCUCAAAGGUUUUCUACCUGAGAGGCAUAACGCAGGCCAACUGAUUCAUCAGAAUCAGGAUGGUAAUCAUAGAGGAUGCAGAUAGUUUGCGGGCACAGGAGCGAGAGAAUAUCAUCAUGAACUAUGAGAAGGGACACCAAGCUGGGCUGCCAGACGACAUGGGGCCUGAGCCUGUUGGAAUCUACAACAACAUUGAUCGCUUUGGGAUUGUGCAGUGAGUCCUCUGUGCUCCCCUCACCCCUGAAGCACCUGUCUCAGCUCAGGGAUGGGUUUGCUUUCAGAAAGGCCUUUCUGAGGCAGGACUGUCUCGCCAGGUCAGGCCAACCUCCUUUCCAGGGUCAGAACUCCUCCCUGGCUCCCCUGCAGGUCCAGCCCCAGGUUGCUGUUAGGCCAGAGGUGCGGGGCCCAUCUAGGGAGCGGGUGGGAAUGGAGACUGGGCUAGGUCAGGCCCCUGGACUCUCAGCAGUUCUGUCCCCAAGUCAGCACAAGAGGAGCGGGGCAGCCUGA
Long non-coding RNA from Macaca mulatta (Rhesus monkey), 630 nucleotides. The record is from Ensembl. NCBI's taxonomy places the organism in Eukaryota, Metazoa, Chordata, Mammalia, Primates, Cercopithecidae.